UACGGAGGGUGCAAGCGUUAUUCGGAAUGACUGGGCGUAAAGUGUGCGUAGGCUGCUUGUAAAGUCUAGUGUGAAAUCCCUAAACUCAAUUUAGGAAGUGCAUUAGAUACUUAUAAGCUAGAGUACAGGAGAGGUAAGCGGAAUUACUGGUGUAGAGGUGAAAUUCGUAGAUAUCAGUAGGAACAACAGAGGCGAAGGCGGCUUCCUGGCCUGCUCUUGACGCUGAGGCGCGAAAGCUAGGGUAGCAAACGGG
Molecule: ribosomal RNA, 253 nt
Filed under: uncultured bacterium
Lineage: Bacteria
Description: partial 16S ribosomal RNA
Rfam family: Bacterial small subunit ribosomal RNA
Source: RNAcentral